RNAcentral lists this ribosomal RNA (1372 nucleotides) under uncultured bacterium. RNAcentral's name for it is "bacterial SSU rRNA". It matches the Rfam family "Bacterial small subunit ribosomal RNA", at positions 28 to 1381 of the family's 1533-position model. The record is from RNAcentral.
GAUGAACGCUGGCGGCGUGCCUAAUACAUGCAAGUCGAGCGAACGGACGAGAAGCUUGCUUCUCUGAUGUUAGCGGCGGACGGGUGAGUAACACGUGGAUAACCUACCUAUAAGACUGGGAUAACUUCGGGAAACCGGAGCUAAUACCGGAUAAUAUUUUGAACCGCAUGGUUCAAAAGUGAAAGACGGUCUUGCUGUCACUUAUAGAUGGAUCCGCGCUGCAUUAGCUAGUUGGUAAGGUAACGGCUUACCAAGGCAACGAUGCAUAGCCGACCUGAGAGGGUGAUCGGCCACACUGGAACUGAGACACGGUCCAGACUCCUACGGGAGGCAGCAGUAGGGAAUCUUCCGCAAUGGGCGAAAGCCUGACGGAGCAACGCCGCGUGAGUGAUGAAGGUCUUCGGAUCGUAAAACUCUGUUAUUAGGGAAGAACAUAUGUGUAAGUAACUGUGCACAUCUUGACGGUACCUAAUCAGAAAGCCACGGCUAACUACGUGCCAGCAGCCGCGGUAAUACGUAGGUGGCAAGCGUUAUCCGGAAUUAUUGGGCGUAAAGCGCGCGUAGGCGGUUUUUUAAGUCUGAUGUGAAAGCCCACGGCUCAACCGUGAAGGGUCAUUGGAAACUGGAAAACUUGAGUGCAGAAGAGGAAAGUGGAAUUCCAUGUGUAGCGGUGAAAUGCGCAGAGAUAUGGAGGAACACCAGUGGCGAAGGCGACUUUCUGGUCUGUAACUGACGCUGAUGUGCGAAAGCGUGGGGAUCAAACAGGAUUAGAUACCCUGGUAGUCCACGCCGUAAACGAUGAGUGCUAAGUGUUAGGGGGUUUCCGCCCCUUAGUGCUGCAGCUAACGCAUUAAGCACUCCGCCUGGGGAGUACGACCGCAAGGUUGAAACUCAAAGGAAUUGACGGGGACCCGCACAAGCGGUGGAGCAUGUGGUUUAAUUCGAAGCAACGCGAAGAACCUUACCAAAUCUUGACAUCCUUUGACAACUCUAGAGAUAGAGCUUUCCCCUUCGGGGGACAAAGUGACAGGUGGUGCAUGGUUGUCGUCAGCUCGUGUCGUGAGAUGUUGGGUUAAGUCCCGCAACGAGCGCAACCCUUAAGCUUAGUUGCCAUCAUUAAGUUGGGCACUCUAAGUUGACUGCCGGUGACAAACCGGAGGAAGGUGGGGAUGACGUCAAAUCAUCAUGCCCCUUAUGAUUUGGGCUACACACGUGCUACAAUGGACAAUACAAAGGGCAGCGAAACCGCGAGGUCAAGCAAAUCCCAUAAAGUUGUUCUCAGUUCGGAUUGUAGUCUGCAACUCGACUACAUGAAGCUGGAAUCGCUAGUAAUCGUAGAUCAGCAUGCUACGGUGAAUACGUUCCCGGGUCU